RNAcentral lists this ribosomal RNA (368 nucleotides) under Cryptocercus changbaiensis. RNAcentral describes it as "partial 16S large subunit ribosomal RNA". Lineage: Eukaryota; Metazoa; Arthropoda; Insecta; Blattodea; Cryptocercidae. The record is from RNAcentral.
CUCUUCUUGAAUAUAUUAUGAUGUAUGGCCUGCCCACUGAGUGUUGAAGGGCCGCGGUAUUUUGACCGUGCAAAGGUAGCAUAAUCAUUAGUCUUUUAAUUGUAGGCUGGAAUGAAUGGUUUGACGAGGUGUAAACUGUCUUUAAUUUAUUUGUUGAAUUUAAAUUUUAGGUUAAAAUGCCUAAAUUUUUUUUUGGGACGAGAAGACCCUAUAGAGUUUUAUAUGUUUUUAUUUUUUUGUGUGAUAAUUUUAAAUUUAAGAAUUUAUUUUGUUGGGGUGAUGGAAAGAUUUAAUUAACUCUUUUUAUUUUUUUUAUAUUUAUUUAUAUGUAUUUGAUCCAUUUUUGUUGAUUAUAAGGCUAAAUUACC